ACCGCACUGAACUAUGCAUGUAAUUAUGGACACCCAAAAGUGGCAGCUCGUUCUAAAGAGGAAGUGUGAGAUCGAUGCAUGUGAUAGUGACAGAUGCACACCUCUGAUUAAGUCCUCACAGCACCAGCAUGAAGCGUGUGUGAAGAUCCUACUGCAGUUUGAUGCUAAUCCCAAAGCCGCCGAUGCCAAGAAGAACACGGCCCUUCGCUACUCCAUCUACAAUGUUGACCCUCCAAUGGUGACCACUUUGCUAGAAUAGCAUGCAGACCCUGAAGUCAAAGUGAAGGACGGCUUCACGCCACUCACAGCUGCUGUGGUGAAGGACAAUGUGCAGGUAGCGGCGAUCCUGCUCCCAAAGGCGAACGUGAAUGCCAGCAACGACUGCAAGAGG
Long non-coding RNA from Jaculus jaculus (lesser Egyptian jerboa), 391 nucleotides. RefSeq lists it as uncharacterized. The record is from RefSeq and is a predicted model, not a curated record. NCBI's taxonomy places the organism in Eukaryota, Metazoa, Chordata, Mammalia, Rodentia, Dipodidae. The transcript is spliced from 3 exons.